RNAcentral lists this transfer RNA (73 nucleotides) under Marmota monax (woodchuck). It matches the Rfam family "tRNA". From Rfam's summary of the family: Transfer RNA (tRNA) molecules are approximately 80 nucleotides in length. The record is from Rfam by way of RNAcentral. Lineage: Eukaryota; Metazoa; Chordata; Mammalia; Rodentia; Sciuridae.
GGGGGUGUGGUUCAGUGGCAGAGGGCCUGCCCUGCAUGCAGUGAAGCCCUGGGUUUGAUCCCCAGCACCCCAA